CACUCUUUCUUUGUCCUUUGUCUUUCUCACUCUUUUUCUGUCUCUAUCGUCUCUCACCUCUUUCUCUGUCUUCUUCAUCUCUCUCUCAAAGCAUCAGCAAAAACCCAUAGAUUUUGAAGUUAGAAUAUCAUUUAUUCUAUUAAUUAAUUUUUGUGGGUUUGAAGUAAAAACUGAAGUUUAGGGUUCUUCUUCUACAACAAGAUGGAGAAAGAUCAACGCAAGAAGAUUUUUAUAUCUUUAAAUUUUCUCUCUCUUCAUUUUUUUUUUGUUGGUUAAAUCUCGUGAAAUUUGAGUAAUUGGAUCUUUUUGCGAGUUAGUGGAAAUGAGAUUAAAUACAUUGUCGAUUUUUUUUAUGUGGGUUAAACUUGUGAAUGCUUUGAAUUUAAAUUAAGAUAUUUUCUAAAAUUUGAUUGAUAGGUAAUUCUUGAGAAAGUUGAAAAAGGUUAAGAAGCAAUAAUCAGAAUUUGGCCAGGCGCUAUUUUCCAUUUUAGCUUAUUAAAAACCGAAGGUGCUAAGCUUGUGGGUUCAGUUGUUGAAAUUCACAACAAGAUAAAAAUUUAGGUUAUUGCGUAUUUUUUUAUUUGAGAUUUUAGGAUUAUUGAUUUGUCAAAUUAUUAAUUGCAAUCCUUGGUAAUUUGCAUUUGUAUAUUGGUAGGUUAUUGGUCAUGAUGGAAUGAAGUUUGUUAUCGGUUCCGCCAUGGCUAGGGUUUUCACGUGUGCCGAAUUCCUUUUUCCUAUCAUCUCAAGCUUCACGAGACGGCCAAACUUUAGCUAUGCCAGAUGAAGUUCUUCUUUCUCUCUCCUUCCUUUAUGUCUCAGAGAAAUUUUGAGUUGAUAACAAUUGAUUCUAAACUUAGUGACCCACACGAUAGCGCAAUUGAAAGGUUUAGGAGUAUUAACAACAAACAAAAACCUAGGCAACAAUAACACCGACCCAUUGUUGCUUACUUGCUAAAGUAGUUUCAGGUUACAGCUUGGCAAUGUUGAUAUCUCUUUUGAAUCAAGUCCACAUCAUCCACUUUUUGUUGGUUAAUGCCUUAUAGCUCUUUCUUUUAGUGUCAAUGAGAAUUUUUUUAGCUUUUUAGAUUUGAAAUGUGUCCAUUAAUGUCAAGUAUUUUAAAGGAUAAACGAAGGAAACCACAAUUGUGCACCCUAUCGUGAUUUUUUUAAUUUAAAAUUCCAGUAGCUGAAUAUCAGUAUUGUUUAACCAAUUGAUCUUAUCUUAUUAUUCUGGGACAUGAAAAGGCAGUGGAAUUCUCAAUUCUCAUUUCCAUAAAUAGGGGUUGUUUGGAAUAUUACGUUUGUUCUUUAGGAGUCACCUUUUGUUAAAUAUCCUUCUAAAGGUUAUUUCUUCUCUUUCUUAACCUUUACUACAAUAUGUUAGCAUUUGCAGAGGUUCCUUUACUACAAUAUGUUAGCAUUUGCUUUUGCCAAUAGUUGUACUUUAAGAGGUUAUUACAAAAGCCUUCCGUAGUUUCAUUGAUGGAUUUUGUUCAUGAGGACCCUUUUUAUCAUAUACCUCUGUUUACAACUGUUACUAACUGAUUAGGAAUGCUAUAAUUGACCCUUACCCGCCUUCACCUGAUAUUUAGCUAUGCUAAUUGACACUUUGCUCUAUGUCAUCAUGAAUCUUGUGACACACUUUUAGUUGAUGAAGAUGGUGUAAUCUUAUUUUCUCCCAUGUUCAAAGGUUUUAGUUUUAAUUUUGCUUGUGAUCUUAGUAAAAUAACUUUGUGGUUUUAUCAAGAAGUUGUUAAGGGCAAUGGGUUGAAGUUUUGAGUUUUAUAUUGUGCUAUGUGACUAUAACAAUUCGAACUAUACUUCAUGAUGUCUAUCUCAUUAGCUUGUUGAAUUUCGGGAAGAAAAUUGAGGUUCCAAAACAUUAAUAUAAUACUUUGUUUCUAUGAAUAUUAAUAUUAUUAAGGGGCCUAAUUGCUAACAGCAAAAUAAUGGAUUACAAUGGCUAAUGCAGCAAUACAUGGUCUAUAGUUGAUGUUGCUGUGUUUUAAAGACAUUUUAAGUCAGCAAUUGUGCAGCUCCUUAGUGCAACUCCUUAGAAGUAUACGAUUGCGGCGAAAUAAUUUCAAUUCCGGUGCUAAUGAUCUUACCGUGCAACCUGACCUACGAGGUGGAUAACUUGCUUUUACAUCACAGAAUAAGACUCCUUCUAUUGGCUCUUAGUUCUCGCUUAAAGUGGUUUACUCCUUCAGGCUGCAAUAUCAGCAAUUCUGAUGAUAGUCUUACUCUUAGCUGAUAUGUCACUGCCGGUAACAACAACAAAAAAACAUCGUUCGAGAUUAGGAAGUUUAAAGGGCCCUAAAUGUGUAGAUAAUACAGAAGUAGCUUGCAGAUGUAUCUAAUGAGCCAAACUAUUUUCUUGAAAUUGAAGAUCUCAAGAGUAAGGACGCUUCCAAGAGGAAGGACUUCAACUUGCUCAUGCAUCAGUACCCAUCAUUAGAUACUGGUGAUGAUGGUGGCUGAAAUCAAACAAUACCGGUGUUAACUUUGGGGAAGGGGUGAGUUGAGAUGAAGUGUUAGAUUUUUUUUAUUUGUUCUCAUGUAACAACAUGAUUUUUGUGCGCUUCUCUAACGCUUGUUGUAAUCUAAUAAGAGUUUUAAUGUUGCGAAAGAGAUGUGGCUGAACUUUUUGUUUAGAAUAAAGCUUGGUAUAUUUGUUUAUAGCAUUUUCAAGAGAAGACAAUCCUUAGGACACAAAUGUGGAGACUUGCAGUAAAUGAUUGUGGUCUAAGUACUUCCUUGAAUUCACUCUUUUCUUCCUUUCAUUUUAUUCUUCUUAUUUA
Beta vulgaris subsp. vulgaris (sugar beet) is the source of this 2801-nucleotide long non-coding RNA. RefSeq lists it as uncharacterized. The record is from RefSeq and is a predicted model, not a curated record. Lineage: Eukaryota; Viridiplantae; Streptophyta; Magnoliopsida; Caryophyllales; Amaranthaceae. The transcript is spliced from 5 exons.